This is a long non-coding RNA of Tupaia belangeri chinensis (Chinese tree shrew), 758 nucleotides long. RefSeq lists it as uncharacterized. The transcript has 8 exons. NCBI's taxonomy places the organism in Eukaryota, Metazoa, Chordata, Mammalia, Scandentia, Tupaiidae. The record is from RefSeq and is a predicted model, not a curated record.
CUGGGAGCUGCGAGGGCUGGACUCACAGUCCUCCACCGCCCGGCCUUUGCUGUCUCAUGAAUCCAGAAAUGUAGCCACUUUCUCAUCUUCUCCAGAGCUUCUUCAUAUCUGGUAGCUGUUGGGUUAGUACCUUUCGAGCAGCCUCAUAUACAGGGUGACUUCUAUCAAUUAAUUCUUGAUUGUGAAAUAAACUUUUAUCACUAAGCAAUUCUUCAGGAUUUUCUCCUUAAUGAAAGUAAUUCCAAAGAAGUUAUACUUGAAGACAAAAAAAGAUCUGGAAGACAGUAGGGCAUUAAAUAAUGAGGGUCAUAUCCAAGAAAUCAUCUACAAUUCCAAAAGAGUCUUCACUACACAGAUCUUUCUCCCAGAUGGUUAUUCCAGGAAAAAUCAUGGGCCAAGGAGAUCCUUCUGAGUUCUGUGCUAUGCUGGACUUGGAAGAAAGUGGUGUAGGAAAGGUUCUUCUUACCCUCUAUUUUUGGAUUUUUCUCUGCUUUUGUACUUUAGGAAGGAGGAUCCAGAAUCACUAAAGGGAGGAUUCCAGCACCUAACAAAGCCCUCUCCCAGGAGCUGUCAUUCCAGAAUACCAACUGACUACAUGGUUUGCAGACGUUGGAGUCACCAAGACAGAUCGAAUACACAGGCACUGGGAGAAGCAUUGUUUUAUUCACGUAGAGAAGUGAUAGGUUGCAGCAUGACUAUAUCCCCUUGAGGGUGCUUUGUCUCUCUCCCUGAUGAGAGAGAUGCACCCCCAGGCAACC